AGGGAUCUCUUUCCUUCAAUUCUCGAGAGAGAGAGAGAAGGGAAGAGAAGAAAAAAAGAAACGGCCAAGACUAAGAGAGACGCGCUUUUGUCCUCAUGAGUUUAAAAAGUUCAUAUUGGCCUCCAAAUCUAGUAAGUAAUAUAAAUUAAUUUAAAUCAAAUAGAUCCCAGGAAGUAAAAAAGCGACGUCUAGAGUGGUGGGUGUGAGUUUGCAGCAGCAGCAGCAGCAGCA
RNAcentral lists this unclassified non-coding RNA (231 nucleotides) under Hevea brasiliensis (rubber tree). The record is from RNAcentral. Lineage: Eukaryota; Viridiplantae; Streptophyta; Magnoliopsida; Malpighiales; Euphorbiaceae.